UAUUGCACUCGUCCCGGCCUAU
This 22-nucleotide non-coding RNA is filed under the name Limulus polyphemus (Atlantic horseshoe crab). The record is from RNAcentral. Lineage: Eukaryota; Metazoa; Arthropoda; Merostomata; Xiphosura; Limulidae. RNAcentral also lists the same sequence under 3 other names.